RNAcentral lists this ribosomal RNA (120 nucleotides) under Microcebus murinus (gray mouse lemur). The record is from RNAcentral. Lineage: Eukaryota; Metazoa; Chordata; Mammalia; Primates; Cheirogaleidae.
GUCUACAGCCAUACCACCCUGAACACACUCAAUCUUGUCUGAUCUCGCAAAGCUAAGCAGGGUCGGGCCUGGUUAGUACUUGGAAGGGAGACCACCUGGGAAUACCGAGUGAUGUAGGCU